Callithrix jacchus (white-tufted-ear marmoset) is the source of this 4953-nucleotide long non-coding RNA. RefSeq lists it as uncharacterized. The record is from RefSeq and is a predicted model, not a curated record. Lineage: Eukaryota; Metazoa; Chordata; Mammalia; Primates; Cebidae.
GGUAUCCACACCGAAACCUGUAAGUCGUGACUAGAAUCACUUUGUGUCCACAGGGAAGAAAUUCCCAUACUAAGAUUAAGUAUUCCAUGAAGAAGUUUACUGAGAAGUCUCUGGAAGAUAAUCUUUGAGGAAGUGAAGGAGACUGGAUUGGGAAGAGCAAGAAGCUAACCAGUAACGUGAUUGCACAUGAGACAUUACAGAAUCAUACAGUGUUUUGCUCUUGUUGUCCCGACUGGAUUGCAAUGGCCCCAUCUCAACUCACAUCAACCUCUGCCUUCUAGGCAUAUGAUAUUAUGCGGCCAUUCUGCUGUCACUCAGCAAAAGUGUUUUAAUUUAGAAGACAAGAAAAAUUAAAUUAAUAAUCUAGCAAGAUUUUUGAAACUUGUGUCAGAAAUUGAGUGAAAGAGACUCUGCACUUCUUUCAGUACAGAUAAAUUGAAGGACUAUCAGAUGAAAUUUCUCAUCUUAUGCCCAAUAAACUGUUGGAAAAAGCAGCAAAGGAGAAAAGACUUACAGAGUUCCUACAAAAAUUGGCUAUGAGUAACAUAUAAACAAGGAACAACAAACUGUGGAAGGCCACAGGAGGCCUCGGAGGAGGAAGGCCUCUUCAUGCCUCAUGUUCCGGUAUAGGGUGACCUCGGCUCUGUUACCAUAAACAUUUUGCUCAAGGAUGUGAAACCCCUUCGUAGCACUGUGACGUAGCCAGACUUGUAGGCUCCAUGUAAGUUCUGUGUUUCCACCAACUUCACAUAGAUAAUACGCUAAGAUAACCACAUGUUCUUAUUUUGUGAAACACCUUAGCCACCGCUAUUAUAAAUCCUUAGGAUGACACACCAGUUCUGGCUCACUGAUUCAGUUCCUGCUCACUGAUUCACUCCACCAUCAUUCCGCCUCUACCUUGUAGAUCAAAGUAAUUGUAAUCAAUAAAUAGUGUGGAUGAUCAGAGCUCUGGGCCUUCACUGUCUCCUUCAAAGUAAUAAAGUGAUGGUCCCCGGUCCCACUUUUUCUCUUAAUUUGUCUUUUUCUCAUUUCUUUGUCCCACCCACCCAUUGGUGAUGUAAGGCUGGCUCCCUACAUAAACAAUAUGCAAUUCUUAUGUUUUAUUGUCAUUCAUAAGCCAUGGAGUAUGGCUGAUGAAUAACAGGAAGUCGACUAUUUGAAUUACAUUGCAAAGAGAGUCGUAUUUAUAAUAUACACUUGAAAGCAGAGUCAGAAAUGCAUUUAGAGUUUGUUAAGGCAUUUUGCUUACUGUUGCGUAACAUUAUAGAGAUACUGUAUUUCAGCAGCCAUCACUGUAAUUUUCUUCUGAUCCAACAUUUUGCUGCUGAUGAACUUGGACAUUGUCCAAGAAAAGAUCAAGAAUAGACACUCCAAAGCCAGUGCAAUUCUGGAUUUUAUUUCCUCACUGUAUGCUGACAUAAUCAUUGCACUAUAUAGGCAAAUCAGUCCAUGAAUAAUAAAUGCAUAAUUCUGAAAUAAUAAAAUCAUUGGAAUAGUUUUCAUCACCUUCUCUCAUAAACAACAACAACAAAUGUAAUUUAAAAAAAGGCAGAACUAUUCCAGACAUAUGAAUGAAAUUAUUAAGGUUGGGCAUUAGUGCUAGCCUUGUUUUAAAAACAUAAAUUAUGACUUAUUAUAACCUUGUUUAUAGGCAUCACCUCAGGCUUUCAAAUUCCUUUUCAUAUCACAAGCAGAUUUAUCACAAUGGCCACCUGCAUGCUUUCCCCACAGGAAUCAAUUGCCUUUAUCUUGUAGGGGUCAGUAUUUCCAGGUUAUGUAUUAUUUCACAUUCAAUCUGGCUUGUAUAAUUAUUUCAUAUGGAACUGUGCCAAUUAUUAGAAUUACUUUGCAUUUCACAAAUACAUCAUUUUAAUGCAAAUGAUAAAAUGCAUACAAAUGAAACUGGUAGAAAUAUUGUUCAGACACUAUAUAUAUAUAUAUAUAUAUAUAUAUAUAUAUAUAUACUUUUUUUUUUUUUUUGCUACCAACUCCUGGAAAUUAAAAGCUUUGCUAUUAAUGAAGAAUGUGUUUUCAAUGGAGAAUUCACUAGCAGACAGAACUCUUCACCUAUAAGCCAACUGGAAGAAUCAUUUGCAAAUGCAACACAUAAUAAAGUUCUCUUAUUAGAUCCACAAAGUAGUUUUGGACCAUCUUCAGUAAAUUUCUGCUAAUGAUUGAUAGAGACAAAUGAUACAGAAAGUAAAGCUACUGUAUGUACAAGCCCUUUUUGGUAAACUAAUUUAAUAAUAAUGUUUAUGUUCUUCACAUCUGGAGAAAUUAUAAAUAUCAGUAACAAAUUCUUAAGAUGGCUGGGCGCGGUGGCUCAAGCCUGUAAUCCCAGCACUUUGGGAGGCCGAGGUGGGUGGAUCACGAGGUCAACAGAUCUAGACCAUCCUGGUCAACAUGGUGAAACCCCGUCUCUACUAAAGAUACAAAAAAUUAGCUGGGCAUGGUGGCGCGUGCCUGUAAUCCCAGCUAUUCAGGAGGCUGAGGCAGGAGAAUUACCUGAACCCAGAAGGCGGAGGUCGCGGUGAGCCAAGAUUGUGCCAUUGCACUCCAGCCUGGGUAACAAGAGGGAAACUGUCUCAAAAACAAAAAAAUUCUUAAGACGUUUUAGCAUUUUUACAUUUCCUUUAAUGUUGUGUAAUAUUAUUGAAUAUUACUAUAACACAGUCUUUAUUUUAAUUUUCUAAUUUUUACUUUUAUGUUUGUACUAUACUGUAAGAAUUUGUUUUCUAAAAUGUUAGGGCUUAAAUUUCAUCUUUUCGCAGAUUUGUAAGACAAUCAAAAGAUCUUCCAUCAUAUUAUGUGUUCUGAUAUUGUUUAAAAUAUAGAAUUAUCUGUUCUUGGAACUCAGAUGUAAAAUUGGCUGGAAUUUAAAUACUUUUUGAAACUUCUUUAUUAUAUUUCUAUUUUUAGGCAGAUUUUUUUUUCAAUUACAUUUUACUCAAAACUUAAACAAAAUAAUGCUGAAAUUUCACUUUUUUCUAGAACAAAAAAAACUAUUUCAUUGUGUUUUCAAAUUUGAUAGUGUAUCACACUAAAAUUAUUUGCUUAAAAUUUUGCAUUCUUUAUCUCAGAUUAUAUUCAGUCACAUUUAUAAUGUUAUUUAUUAUUCCUUUUGUUAGAUUUUCCAAUAGCCUUUAAAAAGCAUGCCUAUUAAAAUAAAUAGACCCGCUUCUGUAUUUGUUAUUCCUGCCAUUUUUUAAAUCAUGGAACACGAAUUUAUCUCAAUAUUCUUCAAUAUUAGUAUUGCUGUUUGUUUUAUAUCUUAAUAAGCUGAAAUUUUAAUUACUUUUCUCUUUCUUUCUUGACAACAAUAGGAUUUAAUGUGACACAUUUGCUGCCCACAGAGCUUUUACUUUUCCUAAUAUGUUUUCAAGAGUAGGUCUAAAUGUACAUUUACUUUCAAAGCAUCUUUUACUGAAGUUUAAUUACCUCUUUUUUCUAGAGUUAAGAUUUAUUUAACUUAUUUAUAAAUUCCAAAAUAGCUUAAGCUAUUCUAUAAUCUGCUAAUGUGAUUGUAUUAAUUGAAAUGCAAUUUUAAUUUUUCUUUGCAUUAUUUUAACUGAUAAUUAUCUAUUAUAUUAUUUUGCUCUAGAAAAGGCUGAUGUGUGUGUGUGUGUGUGUGUGUGUGUGUGUGUGUGUGUCAUAGACUAUGAUCAAAACUGAGAAAUUUUUAUGGAUGUGGGUGUGUGGUGUGUGUUAAGAGAGAGAAAGACUGAGACAGAAAAAGAGAGAAAGAGAGAGCAUGUUCAGGAAAAGAUUCAGAGGAAAGAAAAAUAAUGUAGCUUAACUGAAUUGUCAGUAAAAUGUAAAAUUAAAAUUCUAAUACUUUUAAAAUUAUACCCAAAAUUUUUAAACUUUUACUAUAUUCCAUAAACUUUUAAUCUUCGUAACAAUUCUAUUACAUAAGAUGUAUUAAUAACUCUGUUUUACAGAUGAGUAAACAGAGGCAUUAAAAUAAAGUAUCAGCCCCUCCAGUAUUAGGUCUUAAUUCUGUUGAGGCUUGUGUCAGUUUAAAUAGCAGAGAUAACAGUCCUUGCAUUCAGAGAGGGACAGAGUCUUGCUGAAUGCUGUAACCACUAGAAUGUGGUGAAGCGAUGUCUUUCUUGGCAUAGCCUUUAUGAAGAUUAGUAAUUCCCACUGCCUAGUUCUCACAGCCUAGAGCUGCCACAUGAGAAGUCUGAACACCCUGAGGAAGCCAAGGUAUUUAUAGUCUAAGGGAAAAAGGGGAAGAAGCCUUGAAACAGAGAGAGGAGGAGGAAUGCAUGGUCAGAUACCAGCUGUUCAAGCUCCCAGACAUUUAAGACUUCCCAUCUGUGACCACAGACAGACAUCAUGGGUGAGCCAUCCUUGUGCAGGCUUUCAGGCUCACACAAUGGUGGCAAAGAAGAAUAAAUAAUAAUUGUGGAAAAUAGUAAUAAAUUGUUGAUUUACAUCAUUUAUUUUGUUAAGUACCAGUAGAUAAGCUGAAUAUGAUCCUUUCUUCUCUCUCUUUCACACUUUGAAAGGCAUAUAGCCUAUGUUUAUUUUUAAUACUAAUUUUUGUUUUUACAAACAUCUAGUAUAACUUAUAUAGUUAUCUUCAUGUUAACUUAUAUGAAUUGUCAUAAAUGUAAAAUGAACAAAUUAGCAUCACAUGUCAGUAAAAUUUUAUACCUCAAUACAUAUAUCUAUAUUAAUAGUUUCCUUAAUUUGCUAAAUUAAAAAAAUUAAUUGACCAAAAUAGUUUUCCAUGUAAUACCUAAUACUCAAAAUGUAUCUUUUAAAUAAUGAUUAUAAUGAGCUUCACAUGCUUUAUUUAUCUUAUUUUUAUCCACAUUAGCUGGAUUAUGCCUAUAAGUGGCUCUGUACUAACUUGAAGGACCAACUGGAUGAAUAUGAUACUCUGAGUUUGUAAUUUUUGUAAGUAAAACUACAUUGUCAUAUGAGUGUUCACUGGCAUUUAAU